AAAUGCCCACCAAGGCUAUGACGAGUAACUGGUGUGAGAGCACGACCAGUCGCGAUGGGACUGAGAUACGGCCCAUACUUCUACGGAAGGCAGCAGUAGGGAAUCUUCCGCAAUGGACGAAAGUCUGACGGAGCGACACCGCGUGAAGGAUGAAGCAUUUCGGUGUGUAAACUUCUUUUCUGGGGGAAGAAAAUCUGACGGUACCCCAGGAAUAAGGACCGGCUAAUCACGUGCCAGCAGCCGCGGUAAUACGUGAGGUCCGAACGUUAUCCGGAAUUAUUGGGCGUAAAGCGUCCGCAGGUGGUGAAAAAAGUCUGUUAUUAAAUACCAGAGCUCAACUUUGGUGCUGUAAUGGAAACUUUUUCGCUAGAGGAUGGGAGAGGUAUAUGGAAUUGUGCAAGUAGGGGUAAAAUCCGUAGAUAUGCACAGGAACACCAAAAGCGAAGGCAGUAUACUGGACCAUUCCUGACACUCAGGGACGAAAGCGUGGGUAGCAAAAGGGAUUAGAUACCCCUGUAGUCCACGCCGUAAACGAUGCAUGCUCGGUGUAGGGACCCUCGACCUGGAAUCAGUGCCCAAGAUAACUCAUUAAGCAUGCCGCCUGUGUAGUACGAUCGCAAGAUUAAAACACAAAGGAAUAGACGGGGACCCACACAAGCGGUGGAACGCGGGGUUUAAUUCGUUAAUCAGCGAGUAACCUUACCCAGACUUGACAUCCUAUUCGCACCUUUUGAAAUAAUUGGGUCGGUUCGGCCGGAAUAGUGACAGGUCGCUGCAUGGUUGUCGUCAGCUCGUGCCUUGAGGUGUUCGGUUAAGUCCGUUAACGAGCGCAACCCUCGUCGUAUGUUGUAUUUUCAUACGAGACUGCCCUGUAUAACGGGGAGGAAGGUGAGGACGACGUCAAAUCAGCAUGGCCCUUAUGUCUGGGGCUACACCCACGUUACAAUGGCGUGCACAGACCGAAGCAACCCAGCAAUGGCAAGCCAAUC
RNAcentral lists this ribosomal RNA (989 nucleotides) under metagenome. Its description in RNAcentral is "bacterial SSU rRNA". It matches the Rfam family "Bacterial small subunit ribosomal RNA", at positions 259 to 1273 of the family's 1533-position model. The record is from RNAcentral.